RNAcentral lists this ribosomal RNA (253 nucleotides) under uncultured bacterium. RNAcentral describes it as "partial 16S ribosomal RNA". It matches the Rfam family "Bacterial small subunit ribosomal RNA", at positions 524 to 776 of the family's 1533-position model. The record is from RNAcentral.
GACGAACCGUGCGACCGUUGUUCGGAAUCACUGGGCUUAAAGGGCGCGUAGGCGGGCUGCCAAGUCUGGGGUGAAAUCCCACGGCUCAACCGUGGAACUGCCUUGGAUACUGGCGGCCUCGAGGGAGGUAGGGGCAUGCGGAACUGUGGGUGGAGCGGUGAAAUGCGUUGAUAUCCACAGGAACUCCGGUGGCGAAGGCGGCGUGCUGGACCUCUUCUGACGCUGAGGCGCGAAAGCCAGGGGAGCAAACGGG